This 372-nucleotide ribosomal RNA is filed under the name uncultured bacterium. RNAcentral's name for it is "bacterial SSU rRNA". It matches the Rfam family "Bacterial small subunit ribosomal RNA", at positions 524 to 898 of the family's 1533-position model. The record is from RNAcentral.
UACGGAGGAUCCAAGCGUUAUCCGGAUUUAUUGGGUUUAAAGGGAGCGUAGGCGGCCAUUUAAGUCAGAGGUGAAAACUUGCAGCUCAACUGUAAGCUUGCCUUUGAUACUGAGUGGCUUGAAUGAACUUGAGGUAGGCGGAAUGUGACAAGUAGCGGUGAAAUGCAUAGAUAUGUCACAGAACACCAAUUGCGAAGGCAGCUUACUAAGGUUUAAUUGACGCUGAGGCUCGAAAGCGUGGGGAUCAAACAGGAUUAGAUACCCUGGUAGUCCACGCCCUAAACGAUGAUAACUCGAUGUUGGCGAUAUACAGUCAGCGUCCAAGCGAAAGCGUUAAGUUAUCCACCUGGGGAGUACGCCCGCAAGGGUGAA